AUGGUUGGAAUAGUUGGAGCGGGAGACUAGGGCCUCCGCUGGCGGCGGGAGCGGGACGGGCGGAGGAAUGCGAGCUGAGGAACGGAAUCAGGUUCUAAGAGUGUUGCUCUCUGUUUCCCUCUCACUUGAAUUGCUCAUCCGAAAAUCCUCAAGAUCUGGGAGCCGGGUGGACCAGGAGAUUCUGAAAUUAUAGGCAAAAUCUUGUAUUUGCCUUUACCUAGAUUUUGAGCACAAAAGGACCCUUGCCCUUUACAAUAUUUUCUAAGAGGCCUCUCGGAUUUCCUCAUCACCAACCCCAACCAGGUUACUAACUCAGGGAUUCCAGGGACUAACAGUAAGCCAUCGGAGAGACCAUCAAAUCCCACCCCCUCAUUUGACAGACAGGAAAAGGAAAGCCUGCAGAAGACAGGUGGCUUGCCAGAGAUCACUCGCAGGUUAGUGUUGGCAUUGGCACUUGAACCCAGGUCUGGACUCCUGCUUUCAUGCUCUUUCCACCUUCUGCUCUAAGCCUUCCACUGGGGCAGGGAGACAGGCACCCACAGCCACUCCCCAACUCCCAUGUGCUGUUUCAGAAGAUUAACCAAAGCAUAUUUUCAUCCAUGCUGGGUACAAGGGAGCAGGCAAUUCUGAGCAGGCCCAAGGAGGGUCCUUAGUGCAGAAAGUCCAGAAAUAGGGAGGCUGCCCAUCCUCCCCCAUUUUGCUGUCUAGCACAGCACUGGUGCUGUGAGUGUCUGAAGUGGCGCCAGCUCCCUUUCCCACAGAAAAGCGGCAACCCUUUUCCCUCCUUAGGAAACCACACUUGGGUUUCCCCAGCUGGCUGGAUGAUGGUCCUGGCAAAAGGUCACUUCUAGUCUGGUAUCCAUUAUCAUUAGGAAGAGUGAAAAACUGGUCUAUGGGGACCCAGGGCCUCCUCAACCCAGACAGAGAACCCACAAACUCAGAAAGGAGACCGACAGUGCAGGGACUGGGUUAGUGCCCUAACAACAUUGUAGGGUUUUUUAAGGGUUUACAACACCAUAUUUGUUAUCCGAAAUUCUCAUAGAAAAUGGAGCCAUCAACUAGGGCUGUUUAUCAGGUUAUCCUGAAGUACUGUUUCUGCUAGAAAGGCAAGAUACGUGGUUACUGGUAACCUCUUUUUUUCCUUUUUUUUUUUUUUUUUCUUGAGAUGGAGUCUCACUCUUUUGCCAGGCUGGAGUGUAGUGGUGCAGUCUUGGCUCACUGCACCCUCCACUUCCUGGGUUCAAGCGAUUCUUCUGCCUCAGCCUCCCGAGUACCUGGGACUACAGGCACGCACCACCACACCCAGAUAAUUUUUUUUUUGUAUUUUUAGUAGACACGGGGUUUCGCCAUGUUGGGCAGGAUGGUCUCAAUCUCUUGAGCUCGUGAUCCACCCACCUUGGCCUCCCAAAGUGCUGGGAUUACAGGUGUGAGCCACUGUGCCCCGCCUUUUUUUUUUUUUUUUUAAGACAGAGUCUCACUCUGUUGACCCUGCAGCCUCGAACUCCCGGGUUCAGGUGAUCCUCCCACCUCAGCCUCCCAAAUAGCUGUGACUAUAAGCGCACACCAUCACACCCAGCUAAUUUUUGUAUUUUUUGUAGAAAUGGGGUUUCACCGUGUUGCCCACGCUGGUCUCAAACACCUAGGCUCAAGGGAUCCACCUGCCUUGGCCUCCCAAAAUGCUAGGAAUACAGGCGUGAGCCACUUCGGCUUUGUGUUUUUUCCAACUUUUUUUUUUUUUUUGAGACAAGGUCUUGCUCUGUCAUGCAGGCUGAGUGCAGUGGCACAAUCACAGCUCACUGCAGUCUUGACCUCCUGGACUCAAGUGAUCCUCCCACCUCACCCUCUCAAGUAGCUUGGACUACAGGUGUGCCACCACACCGGGUACCCUAACACUUCAAUAACUGUUUUCUCACAAACAAAUGGCUUUCUCAUUUGAGGCUCAAGUAGAAUUAAGCUAGUAUAUAAGAUCAUAUAUACACAUAUAACUGCUAGAACUGGCAGAUUACCAACUUACUUUAGAAUUUAGGAGAAAUGUAUUAAAGUAAUUUAAAUUCCUUCUACUAAGGAUUGAAAAAGCUUUUGGAAAAAAGAGGAGUGACAGUAGAGAACCUUAUAGGACCUUCAUUUCUUAAGUGUCCCAUAAGAUCCUUAGAUGAUGAUGAUUAUUAUUAUUAUCAUUUUUUUUUUUGAGAUGGAGUCUCUCUCUGUCACCCAGGCUAGAGUGCAAUGGCACAAUCUCGGCUCACUGCAACCUCCACCUCCCGGGUUCAAGCGAUUCUCCUGCCUCAGCCUCCCAAGUAGCUGGGAUUACAGGUGUGUGCCCCCAUGCCCAGCUAAUUUUUUUUUUUUUUUGAGACGGAGUCUUGCUCUGUUGCCCAGGCUGGAGUGCAAUGGCAUGAUCUCAGCUCACUGCACCUUCCGCCUCCUGGGUUCAAGCGAUUCUCCUGCCUCAGCCUCCCAAGUAGCUGGGACUACAGGUGCCUGCCACCACGCCUGGCUAAUGUUUUGUAUUUUUAGUAGAGACGGGGUUUCACCAUGUUAGCCAGCAUGGUCUCGAUCUUCUGACCUCAUGAUCCGCCUGCCUCGGCCUCCCAAAGUGCUGGGAUUACAGGCGUGAGCCACUGUGCCUGGCCUCGCCCAGCUAAUUUUUUGUACUUUUAGUAGAGACGGGGUUUCACCAGGUUGGUCAGCCUGGUCUCGAACUCCUGACAUCAGGUGAUCCACCCACCUCGGCCUCCCAAGGUGCUGGGAUUACAGGCAUGAGCCACAGCACCCGGCCUCUAAAAAAUUUUAUCUCUAUCCCAGCAACUAGUUUCUUUUCCAGGAGACAUCAAUUAUUACUAUAUUCUCUUUUUUUUUUUUAGGUGGAGUUUUGCUCUUGUUUCCCAGGCUAGAGUAUAGUGGCACCAUCUCGGCUCACUGCAACCUCUGCCUCCCGGGUUCAAGCAAUUCUCAUGCCUCAGCCUCCCAAGUAGCUGAGAUUACAGGCAUGUGCCACUACGCCUGGCUAAUUUUUGUAUUUUUAGUAGAGAAGGAGUUUUACCAUGUUGGCGAGGCUGGUCUUGAACUCCUGACCUCAGAUGAUUCACCCACCUCGGCCUCCCAAAGUGCUGGGAUUACAGGUGUGAGCCACCAUGCCAAGCCUAUUAUUACUAUUCUCUUGCGGAAUCUUCUAUAGACUAUUUCUGCAUAUAUGAUCAUACAUAUAUAUAUUUCAGCACUUUCCUGUUUUCAGUUAUUAAUAUGUUUUAUGGAUAGUUCCAUAUCAGUACAUGUAGAACUGCCUUGUUUUCCAAUGUAUACGUCUACUAUAUUUGUUUAACCAGUUCCCUAUCAAUGGACAUUUACAGAUUACAAUUUAAAUCUCAUGGGGGAGGAGUUGCUGAAGACAAGUGGGAUUUUUUUGUUUUUGUUUUUUGCUUUUGAGGCAGGAUCUCAUUCUGUUGCCUAGGCUGGAGUGCAGUUGCUCAAUCAGGGCUUACUGCAGCCUCGAACUGCUGGGCUCAAGCAAUCCUCCCAACUCAGCCUCCAGAGUAGCUGGGACCACAGGUACACACCACCACACCUGGCUAAUUUUUAAAUUUCUUGUAGAGACAGAGUCCCAGCCAUGGGGUUUUGCCACGUUGCCUAGGCUGGUCUUGAACUCCUGGGCUCAAGUGAUCCUCCCGUCUUGGCCUCCUGAAGUGCUGGGAUUACAGGAAUGGGCCACUGUGCCCAGCCUCAUCAGGAAAGUAUUUCUAUACCACUUCUUCAAACAGGAAUGUCAGAAUUUGUGGAUGAGUCAAGUUAUGUCCCAGGGGUAGUCCAGUGAAUACAUCUCUGACUCAUUUAAUGCCUCCUUAAUGGAUGAUUUCUGUAAAAGGGCCCUACCCCUGCAUGCCUAUGUUGGAGAAAAAUCUGCAUCAACAAGUUUCUCUCACAUUCCUUUUCUUACUAAAUGCCAGCUAAGUCCAACAGGGGGCAUGCUGAGGCAUAUUGUACUAGCUCCACCAGCACAGAUGCCGCAAACUGGAGCAGAGCAGUCCUUUCCAGAGCAUUUCACUCCAUUCCAGUGAAAAUAAGCAGUUUCUCUUCAUUUGUAACUGCAUUCAGCAUGCCAUUGCCUGCAUUCAGGGUUGUUGGUUUGCAUUUUCCAUUGCUCACUCUAUUUGCUUGCUGAAAGGCACACUGUUCCAUUGUGUGCUUUCAGCCACUGAGACAGAAUCCAUAAAAGGGAUAGUGAGGUAAAAGCAAACAACCCCUUUGGCCCAGAAAAAGGACACCAGGAUGCAACAUGUCAGCAGUUAGAAUCUUACAGGGUGCUCUAUCGUAUUCUUCCAUCCAUCUACUUGUUCAAUAAAACAUGACUACUUCGCACUAGCCAUUUACUGGGCUAGGGACUUUAAUGAGGAUAAAUCAAGUCUAGUCCUUUUUUUUUUUUUUUUUUUUUUGAGACGGAGUCUCACUGUUGCCCAGGCUGGAGUACAGUGGCGCCAUCUCAGCUCACUGCAACCUCUGCCUCCCAGAUUCUCCUCCCUCAGCUUCCCAAGUACCUGGGAUCACAGGCACCCACCACCACAUCUGGCUAAUUUUUAUAGAGUUGGGGUUUCGCCAUGUUGGCCAUGGCUGGUCUUGAACUCCUGAUCUCAGGUGACCCGCCUGCUUCGGCCUCCCAAAGUGCUGGGAUUAUUGGCGUGAGCCACUGCACCCGGCCUUUUUUUUUUUUUUGAGACGGAGUCUCGCUGUGUUGCCAGGCUGGACUGCAGUGGCGCGAUCUUGGCUCACUGCAACCUCCGCCUCCCGGGUUCAAGUGAUUCUCCUGCCUCAGCCUCCUGAGUAGCCGGGAUUACAGGCACACAGCACCAUGCCCAGCUAAUUUUUGUAUUUUGAGUAGAGAUGGGUUUUACCAUGUUGGCCAGGCUGGUCUCAAACACCUGAUCUCAGGUGAUCCACCCAAAGUGCUGGGAUUACAGGCAUGAGACACCACGCCUGGCCACCCCCAGCAUUUUUUUUUUUUUUAAAGACAAAGUCACAUUCUGUUGUCCAGGCUUGAGUGCAGUGGUGCGAUCUCAGCUUGUUGCAGCCUCGACUUCCUGAGCUCAGGUGAGCCUCCUAUCAGCCUCCCAUGUAGUUGGGACUACAGCUGUAUGCCACUACACCUGGCUAAAUUUUUUUUUUUUUUUUUUUUUUGUAGAGAUGGGGUUUUGCCAUAUUUCCCAGGCCACUCUUGAACUCCUGGGCUCAAGUGAUCUGUUCACCUCGGCCUCCCAAAGUGCUGGCAUUACAGGUGUGAAACUCUGCACCUGGCCAGAUGCAUAGUGUCUGACACAGCUGAAAGCUCCCCCCCAGCAUAGGGAAAGCAGUCACUACUCUCAGGAAGAGUGGGGAAGGGUUCACAGGUGAGGGUAGGUACAAAGGAGGGGGAAAGGACCCCCUCCCAAACCCAGUAUCUUGCGGUGUGAAAGGGCACUGGGGAAUAGCCAAGCACUGCUCAUCUCCUCUUAUCAUGGUUCUGCCAUAAGUCUUAUCAGUUUACAUUUAGGGAGAUCCAGCAAAGGGUGUAAUAUGUAAUAUGUUCUGUUCAGUUUUGGAUCUGUGCUGGGAGAGAUCCCAGGGAGACUGUGUGUUUUGUUAAUAAUAAACAGCUGGGACAAAUGAUGUGUCUUCACAUUGGGACAACCGUCUCACAUGGGAGGCUAGCCCUCAGCAGCUGGCUCACAGCUGCCACAAACAACAGUGAUUUUUUUUUUGCCAGUUUUAUAGGCACUAUUCUUGUCUCUCUGAUAUACAUAUAUGAAAAAUGCCUAUAAUAUUUGUAUGUUUCUCUUUCUCAAAAUCCCUUCCUUUCUUUGCCUUCAAAUAUUAAUAUAUAGGGUAACUUCCCUGAACCAGAAAACAGUCAAAAUUAUUUAUUAAGUGCUAAUUUAUGCAUAGUUUGGUGCUAGAAACCAUCCAAAGGACACAACCAGCACUUUUGCUGUGGAGUGGGAAUUUUAGUUUCAGAGAAGCAGUGAUUCAGGCUAACAAACAGAAAAUACAAAAAAACAGGAGAAGGGGGCUGCAGAAAAUAAAGCAAAAUACAUACAGUUUUACCAGCGUGGGCAAAGUGGUAAAACCCCGUCUCUACUAAAAAUACAAAAAUUAGCCAGGCAUGGCAGCGUGUGCCUGUGGUCCCAGCAACUCGGGAGGCUGAGGUGGGAGGAUUGCUUGAGCCCAGGGGGCAGAGGCUGCAGUGAGCCAAGAUCGCACCACUGCACUCCAGCCUGGGUGACAGAGUGAGAACCUGUCUCAAAAAAAAAAGCAAAACUAAGAAACCCUAGAUUCCACCAAUUGUUUCUCCUUUUCUUUCUUUCUUUCUUCUUUUUUUAUGUUGUUGCCCAGGCUGGUCUCAAACUCCUAAGCUCCUGCCUUUGCCUCCAAACUGUUGGGAUUACAGGCAUGAGCCACCACACCCAGCCUUUUCUAAUUUUAUUUGAACUCUGAUUUAGCACUGCUGACCAAUUUAUCUUUGAGAUUCUUCCCUCUUAGCCUUGGACACUGUACUAUUUUUAUUUACUUGUCCCAUUUGCUAGCUUAUUUUUUCUUCCUUUCAUUUUCUUUUUUUAAAUAGCUUUAUUUAUUUAUUUAUAUUGAAACAGGGUCUUGUUCUGUUGCCCAGGCUGGAGUGCAGUGGCAUGAUCACAGCUUACUGCAGCCUCAACCUCCCAGGCUCAAGCAAUCCUCCUACCUCAGCCUCCCAAGUAGCUGGGACUACAGGCAUGCACCACCACACCUGACUUACUUUUGUAUUUUUGUAGAGACAAGGUCUCACUAUGUUCUCCAGGCUGGUCUUGAACUCCUGAGCUCAAGCGAUCCGCCUGCCUCAGCCUUCCAAAGUGCUGGGGUUACAGGCAUGAGCCACUGUACCCAGCUAAUUUUCAAAAAUUGUCGUAGAGAUGGGAUCUCGCUGUUUCCCAGGCUGGUUUCAAACUCCUAGGCUCGGCUUCCCAAAGUGUUGGGAUUACAAGCAUAAACUGGUACAUUUGGACAAAAAAAAAAAAAAAGCUUUUAAUACUGCUUUAAAAGGUUAAACAAUAUAACUUUAUUGAGGUAGAAUUCACAUACCACACAAUUCACCUAAAGCAUACAAUUGAAUAGAUUUUACCAUAUUCACAAUGUUGUGCAAGAAUCAACUUUCAUCAGCCCCCAGAAAGCCCCCGACAAAGAAAAAACACUAAAGGGAGACUUUAUCCUAAAGAAUGUUUGCAAGGAGGGGAAAAAGACUGUUGCAAUACGGGGAGGGAGUCUAUUGCAAUAGGGAGAAGGAUCGGCCCAUAGUUCUGCAAAUGUCUUAAGGGCCAGACCUUUUUCCUUUUAUAGAGAGGAGUAAACAAAGCUAGAAAGAACCAGGUGUAGAGAAUAGGAGGAAAGUGGCCUGAUGAGAGAAUAGAUCAGAGAAUGUUUUACCCUGAGGUCAGGCUAUCCUCAGGAGGGGUUGUGUGCUGGCUCAGGCCCAGUGAGGGUGGGCCAGAGUUCAGGGCCUGGAGGAAGAAGAAAAGCUUAAACAAAAUGUGUUAUUUUUUUUUUUUGAAACGGAGUUUCGCUCUUGUUGUCCAGGUUGGAGUGCACUGGCGCUAUCUUGGCUCAUAGCAACCUCCGCCUCCCAGGUUUAAGAGAUUCUCCUGCCUCAGCCUCCCGAGUAGCUGGGAUUACAGGCAUGCGCCACCAUGCCCGGCUAAUUUUUUGUAUUUUUAGUAGAGACAGGGUUUCUCCAUGUUGGUCAGCCUGGUCUCGAAGUCCCAACUUCAGAUUACAGGCUUAAGCCACCGAGCCCAGCCUUUUAUUUAUUUAUUUAUUUUUGAGACGGAGUCUCACUCUGUCACCCAGGCUGGAGUACAAUGGCGUGAUCUCGGCUCACUGCAACCUCCGCCUCCCGGGUUCAAGUGAUUCUCCCACCUCAGCCUCCUGAGUAACUGGGAUUACAGACACACGCCAUCAUGCCCGGCUAAUUUUUGUAUUUUUGUAGAAACGGGUUUCACUAUGUUGGCCAGGCUGGCCUUGAACUCCUGACCUCAGGUGAUCUGCCCACCUUGGCCUCCCAAAGUGCUGAGAUUACAGGUGUGAGCCACCACGCUGAACCAACAAAAUUUGUUUAAUGAGCAUUUUGUUCAUCGUGAUCAGUGUUGGGAAAACCAGUUUAGCUGGUCAUUCAUGAGGCAGAGAAUAAGAAUUUGAAGUUCUGUGUCUGUUCCUGUCACAGGUAAACAAUGGGGGGCAUCUGCGAGUCACAUGGGGAAGGGUGGUUCUUGGCAGUAAACAAAAACAUAGGGGAUUCCUUUAACCUUGGAUGUUUUCCAAGAGCACAGGGCUCAGGUGAAAUUCACCACUGUUACCUCAUACCCAUUAGCUGUCACUCCCCACUCCUCUCUUCCCUGUCCCCUAGCAACCAGUAAGUUUUAAGUCUCUAUAGAUUUUCCUGUUCUGAACACUUCAUAUGAAUGGAAUCAUACAAUUUGUAGCCUUUUGUGUCUCGCUUCUUUUACUUAGCAUGUUUUCAAGGUUGAUCUAUGUUGUAGCAUGUAUCAAUACUUCAUUCCUCUUUAUGGCUAUAUUCCGUUGUAUAAAUAUGCCCCAUGCUGUUUAUCCAUUCAUCAGCUGAUGGACGUUUGAGUUGUUUCCAUUUUUUUGUUUUUUUAAGAGACAGUCUCCCUGUUGCCCAAGCUGGUGUGCAAUGGCACAAUCAUGGCUCACUGCAACCUCAAACUACUGGUCUCUAGCCAUCCUCCUUCCUCAGCCUCCCAAGUAGCUUGGACUACUGGUCACAACAGGCUAAUUUUUUUUUUAGACGGAGUCUUGCUCUGUCACCCAGGCUGGAAUACAGUGGCACAAUCUCGGCUCACUGCAACCUCUGCCCCCUGGGUUCAAGCAAUUCUCCUGCUUAAGCCUCCCGAGUAGCUGGGAUUACAGGUGCGCAUGACCACGUCUGGCUAAUUUUUGUAUUUUUAGUAGAGACGGGGUUUCACCAUGUUGGUCAGGCUGGUCUCGAACUCCUGACCUCAUAAUCCACCCACCUCAGCCUUCCAAAGUGCUGGGAUUACAGGCGUGAGCCACCAUGCCCCGCCUAAACCAAAUAUCUUUCCUCAAAAGCUAGAAUGCUUCUUGGCUUAUUUCUGUUGAUGGUGGGACCGUCCUAUCAAACACCAGAGACUCCAACCUUAGAAUUAUAUUUAUCUCCUCUCUUUCUCUCAUCUACUAAAGCAAAUGAAAUCCCAGAUCCUGCCUUCCUUCCUUCAUUAUCACUCCCCUGUAAUUCCCAUUUCUGUGACUGUCUGUCUGAUCCUGUUGUUACCAGCUGAUGGCUGUUACUGUACUUUCCUAGUUUGUCUCUGUGUCUCCAACCUUUUCCUUCCAAUUCAUAAUGCAUUUUAGAAUGAAAAUUGAUUUGAAAAACUGUAAAUGAUAGUUUGGAAGGUGCUGGGACUAGAAAAAAGGAGAUCUAACAGGAGACUACUGCAAUAGUCCCAGCAGGGGAAGAUGAUCAUUUGAACUAGAGCAUUACGGGGCACAGAGAGAGGACUGAUGGGUGAGCACUAUAGCAUGAAAACCAUUAGGGCUUGAUGAAUGAGUACAUGUAGAUACUGAAGGAGAAGGAGGAGUCUAAAAUAUUACAAUUUUGGCUGGGUGCAGUGGCUCACGCCUGUAAUUCCAGCACUUUGGGAGGCCAAGGCAGGCGGAUCAUUUGAGGUCAGGAGUUCAAGAUCACCCUGGCCAACAUGGUGAAACCCUGUCUCUACCAAAAAAUACAAAAACUAGCCGGGUGUGGUGGCGCAUGCCUGUAGUCCCAGCUACUUGGGAGGCUGAGGCAGGAGAAUCACUUGAACCCGGGAGGUAGAGGUUGCAGUGAGCUGAGAUCACGCCACUGUAUCCCAGCCUGGGUGACAGAGCAAGACUCUGUCUCAAACAAACAAACAAAUUGGCAAAUAAAGAGAAUCAAUGAAGCAUUAAUCCUACCUUUUCUGGCCGGAUGAAGUGGCUCAUGCCUGUAAUCCUAACACUUUGGGAGGCCGAGGCAAGAGGAUCACUUGAGGUCAGGAGUUUAAGACCAGCCUGGCCAACAUGGUGAAGCCUUGUGUCUACUAAAAAUACCAAAAUUAGCCGGGCGUGCUUGUGCACACCUGUAAUCCCAGCUAUUCGGGAGACUGAGGCAGGAGAAUCACUUGGGCCCAGGAGGCAGAGGUUGCAGUGAUCACUCCAUUGCACUCUAGCCUGGUGGACAAGAGUGAAACUCUGUUCCAAAAAAAAAAAAAAAUCUUACCUUUUCUGUUUGGAUUGUACCUCUGUGUAACCAAAUAGCGGCUGGGUGAAGGAAAGCACUUAUUUAUAAAAUAAUUUCAGCUCAUAAAUAAAGAAGGAAUGAUGGAUUAAAAUGUCACUAUUUUGUAGCCUCUAGUGAAAAAAUGAGCUAAUGAUCAUUAAUGCCCGCUAAAACUAUUAGGCAGAAAAUUGUGGGGAACUCUAUUAUAUCAAAGUAACAACUCAACCCACUCACUAA
Molecule: long non-coding RNA, 10510 nt
Filed under: Homo sapiens (human)
Lineage: Eukaryota; Metazoa; Chordata; Mammalia; Primates; Hominidae
Description: non-protein coding lnc-ATP6V0A1-4:3
Rfam family: Metazoan signal recognition particle RNA (bases 9771-9918)
Source: RNAcentral